Molecule: ribosomal RNA, 795 nt
Filed under: Triticum aestivum (bread wheat)
Lineage: Eukaryota; Viridiplantae; Streptophyta; Magnoliopsida; Poales; Poaceae
Description: partial small subunit ribosomal RNA
Source: RNAcentral
AUGGGCUCCCAGUGGUCAUCUGGCCGACUGAGUGUGAAGAACAUGCACUCUGUCACUAGCAACCGUCCGAUCCGAAUCCUUCUUCUCAGCGGCUUGGCGGAGGCGGUGGAGGAUCUGCGGCCGGUGCUCGCCGUUCAUGGUUUCAUGAUGUUUGUGGCAUGGGGACUGCUGCUUCCAGGAGGAAUCGUCGCAGCACGGUACCUGAAGCAUGUGAAAGGGGAUCUCUGGUUCCAGGCUCAGACAUAUCUUCAGUACUCAGGCCUAGCUGUCAUGUUCAUGGGGGUUCUCUUUGCUGUGGCCGAGCUCCGGGGUUUCUCUUUCAAAUCCACACAUGCUAAAGUCGGCGCGAUAGCAUUUACAUUCACUUGUAUGCAGCCGGUAAAUGCUUAUCUCCGACCACACCAAGCGGAGAAUGGAGAAAUUUUAUCAAGAAACAGGAUCACCUGGGAAUAUCUACAUACCUACACCGGGAGGACUGCUCUGGUAGCCGCUGUCACGGCACUCUUCACCGGGUUGCAGCAUCUUGGGCACAGGUACGGCAGCAAGACGAUCAAGGGACUUACAUGUGGAUUGGUUGUAUGGGUUGUGAGUGCUGUAUUGGUGGUGGCUUACCUCGAGUACAUGAAGGUUAAGCGAAGAAGAGAUGGCGCCGAUGGCCUCAUGCACAAAUUUGUGCUCGGCAACACUGAGGAAGACGAUUCAGUUGAUCUUCUGCAGUCCGAUAGGUUCGACAGUAAAAUGGACUCAGGUUCGCCUGGAUCGAUGGAAGUGCAGCUUGAGCCACUCAAAGGAUGA